GACGAACGCUGGCGGCGUGCUUAACACAUGCAAGUCGAACGGAAAGGCCCUGCUUUUGUGGGGUGCUCGAGUGGCGAACGGGUGAGUAACACGUGAGUAACCUGCCCUUGACUUUGGGAUAACUUCAGGAAACUGGGUCUAAUACCGGAUAGGAUCUCCUGCUGCAUGGUGUGGGUUGGAAAGUUUCGGCGGUUGGGGAUGGACUCGCGGCUUAUCAGCUUGUUGGUGGGGUAGUGGCUUACCAAGGCUUUGACGGGUAGCCGGCCUGAGAGGGUGACCGGCCACAUUGGGACUGAGAUACGGCCCAGACUCCUACGGGAGGCAGCAGUGGGGAAUAUUGCACAAUGGGCGGAAGCCUGAUGCAGCAACGCCGCGUGCGGGAUGACGGCCUUCGGGUUGUAAACCGCUUUCGCCUGUGACGAAGCGUGAGUGACGGUAAUGGGUAAAGAAGCACCGGCUAACUACGUG
This 468-nucleotide ribosomal RNA is filed under the name uncultured bacterium. RNAcentral's name for it is "partial 16S ribosomal RNA". It matches the Rfam family "Bacterial small subunit ribosomal RNA", at positions 28 to 507 of the family's 1533-position model. The record is from RNAcentral.